AAUGCGUAGAAUAUAUGGAAGAACACCCAGUGGCGAAGGCGGCUGUCUGGUCUGCAACUGACGCUGAGGCUCGAAAGCAUGGGUAGCGAACAGGAUUAGAUACCCUGGUAGUCCAUGCCGUAAACGAUGAGUGCUAGGUGUUGGAGGGUUUCCGCCCUUCAGUGCCGGAGCUAACGCAUUAAGCACUCCGCCUGGGGAGUACGACCGCAAGGUUGAAACUCAAAGGAAUUGACGGGGGCCCGCACAAGCGGUGGAGCAUGUGGUUUAAUUCGAAGCUACGCGGAAGAACCUUACCAGGUNCUUGACAUNCUUGCGCUAACCUUAGAGAUAAGGCGUUACCCUUCGGGGACGCAAUGACAGGUGGUGCA
RNAcentral lists this ribosomal RNA (368 nucleotides) under Limosilactobacillus reuteri. RNAcentral describes it as "bacterial SSU rRNA". It matches the Rfam family "Bacterial small subunit ribosomal RNA", at positions 685 to 1045 of the family's 1533-position model. Lineage: Bacteria; Bacillati; Bacillota; Bacilli; Lactobacillales; Lactobacillaceae. The record is from RNAcentral.